GAAGCAUCUAUGAUAUGUGCGGUGGCCCUAAGGUGCAAAACACAACUGCAAAUCAGAAAACAACAUAAAAAGAGAAAACACAACGGCAAAUCAGAAAACACAACACAAAAAGUGAAAACACCAUGGUUAAUGUCGGUCUGUUUUCUCUUGUUGCGAUGUGUUUUCUGAUUUGUUUUUGUGUUCUGCACCUCAGGGCCACCGUAGAUAUUUGAUCUGUUA
Non-coding RNA from Xyrichtys novacula (pearly razorfish), 219 nucleotides. NCBI's taxonomy places the organism in Eukaryota, Metazoa, Chordata, Actinopteri, Labriformes, Labridae. The record is from the annotation of a GenBank genome assembly.